RNAcentral lists this ribosomal RNA (429 nucleotides) under Gemmatimonadota bacterium. RNAcentral's name for it is "Gemmatimonadetes bacterium partial 16S ribosomal RNA". It matches the Rfam family "Bacterial small subunit ribosomal RNA", at positions 355 to 776 of the family's 1533-position model. The record is from RNAcentral. Lineage: Bacteria; Pseudomonadati; Gemmatimonadota.
UAGGGAAUCUUCGGCAAUGGACGAAAGUCUGACCGAGCAACGCCGCGUGAGUGAAGAAGGUUUUCGGAUCGUAAGACUCUGUUGUUAGAGAAGAACAAGGACGUUAGUAACUGAACGUCCCCUGACGGUAUCUAACCAGAAAGCCACGGCUAACUACGUGCCAGCAGCCGCGGUAAUACGUAGGUGGCAAGCGUUGUCCGGAUUUAUUGGGCGUAAAGCGAGCGCAGGCGGUUUCUUAAGUCUGAUGUGAAAGCCCCCGGCUCAACCGGGGAGGGUCAUUGGUAACUGGGAGACUUGAGUGCAGAAGAGGAGAGUGGAAUUCCAUGUGUAGCGGUGAAAUGCGUAGAUAUAUGGAGGAACACCAGUGGCGAAGGCGGCUCUCUGGUCUGUAACUGACGCUGAGGCUCGAAAGCGUGGGGAGCAAACAGG